Contarinia nasturtii (swede midge) is the source of this 1368-nucleotide RNA transcript. RefSeq lists it as uncharacterized. The transcript has 3 exons. The record is from RefSeq and is a predicted model, not a curated record. Lineage: Eukaryota; Metazoa; Arthropoda; Insecta; Diptera; Cecidomyiidae.
CCUCCCCUAUAUUGUAUCUCUUUUUGAAAGUCGCACCAUGGGCGGAAUUUAUACCUUAUUGGGCACAUAGCCAGCAUGUGUCUAGUUCACUAGACUCACACAAUGGUAUAAAUUUAGGAUUGGUAAUAAAUAAAAAAUAUAAAUUUAGGAUUGGUAAUAAAUAAAUAAAUAAAUAAUUGUCGUGCCGGUGGACGAAUGGGGAACAUCUCAAACAGACGCAAGAUGUAUGUGCCGAUUCCAAAACCAACCCAAAUCAGCCAAAUUUAAGAUGUGUCGGUGCAUACCCAACGCCAUAACACUGCUGCCAACCAAAAUUGUGUCUAAGUUUGGCAAGACAGAUACAUCUACAUAUCGACAGUUACAACGCACAUUGAACGGAGCAUUUGAAAUAGAAGAGGAGCUAAUGUCAAGAGUAAAACCUUACUACAAAAAAUGGCAAUUAGACCUCGAAUGCACCGUGACUUGGCAUCGUGACGUCGUGGCUGCUAAGAACAUUCUACUGAAAGGACUAUGGACAUUGCUUGGACUUCCAAUACCUGCUGCAAUCAACCGAUAUUGGAAUCAAAUCAACGCCGAUGCCGCCGUCUUCGACGACGAUAACGACGUGGACAUAUGUGGACGAAUUCGAAUAGCAGCCAACUAAUCAUCACAAUACCAUACAAUAAAACAAAAUAAAUCAUAAGUAACAUUUGUUACAUAUCUGCUAUUCCGAAUAUGUGGGUUAGUUAUGCACAAAAAAAGUCAUGUCCCAUUUGGUUGAGAUGGCUGUGCGGGAGUACAAACGGAGCGUUUUUCCAUUAUAUGGGAAACACCCUAAUUGAACGUCGAUCUGUGCAUUAUUACUCCUUCAAACGAACUGUGUUUAAGUCAUACACGUCGAUUCAAGUCUUGCACACACUUCGUUCAGAAGGAGCAAUAAUGCAUGGAGUGUUGCGGUAAUUAUCGGAUACUCACAAAAUAUCCCGGAUAAAUAUCUAUGCUCAGUAUAUGGUCUGAUUCAAAAUUAAAUAAAUAUCAGAAUCAUUUUAACAUACUCAAUAUAAAGGUGGCACAUAUCAUUUAAAAUCGAAAUAAAAUAGGUUAUUACCCAUUUCAUUCCCCCAAAUUUUUCGAUAGUUUUUCGCUACUCAUCUAACCUCACUGAUCUAAUAGAUAUUUCACUUGGUGGAUAAACAUCUCUAUAGUGACUCAACACUGCUAAAAUGCUUGUAAUGAUCCAUAGAACCAGAAUCGCGAUGUGCACAUGAAGGUUUUUCGGCCCCCUACAAAUUGACCCACCGUACUCUACAGAUAUAUAAUUUCAGUUCAAUAUUAGAAUAAUAUUUCUGGCAUGAAAAUAGGGCAAUUCUAUAUCAAAACAUGUGUUCA